GACAAACAGAAAUUGCGAAGCAUAGCCAUGGGAACUUUAAAUCUUUUCAUUUAACCUCUUAUAGUCUUACUCUCAUCACUCUGAGCUCGCGAUGAGACACCAUCAGUGCCUCCUUCAAUAUUCCUUCCAUCGAUGCUAUUAGCGACCGAAAGGGCAGACGACAUUGAUUCAUUUUUGGAAGAAGAAAGAAGGUGAACCAGCACCACUGAACUGCGAAUAGGUGAAGCCUGAAGUCGAAGCCCUCUCAUUGAACUUUUCUUUCUAUUUGUUAUUUUGAUUUGAUUUGAACCUAGAAUCAAGAUGAGUCAUUUAUCAGUUUUGUGAUUCUUAUGAAAUUAAUUUACUGAUUUGCAGGCAGAAGAACUCAAUCUUAGAAGCUCCUGGAGCGAUGGAGCCUUAGGUCUAAUUGGAUGUCGUCCCUGCCUCUCGAGGUGAAAUUUAUUGGAUGUUUUACUAAGGUUAGAUAUAAGUUGCUAAUUUAAAGUCAUGUAUUAGUUACCAGUUCUGUGAAUUGCAAUUUGCAUAUAGGUUGUGAUUUGUGAACUUAAUUGACUUUUGUGCAAAGGUUGAGAAUAUGUUGCUUGAUUUUAGGCAUAGGCUGAUUUGGGGUUCACUUAUUUUUGCUUUCAGAUACUUGUUUUUGCUUUAAAUUACUUGAUAAUAACGUUAUUGUAUGACGAUAUCAAAUGAUGAAACCUCAUAAGAAACAUUUUUAAUUAUAAACUAUAUCACUUUUAGUAUUAUUGUGAUAUUGUUUUCUAGUUCUAUUAUCAUUAAAUUCAUGACCAAAAUUCAAAUUUCAACUUCAAUUAAAUUGUACCCACACUGAACGAAUUUCCUGGAUCUAUCCCUGAAAUGAUCAUCAGAAUUGAGCAAUAAAGCUACAUCAACCUCAUGUUGCCGCCAAAGUUACCAGUACCAGAGGAAGCCAGAAGCCUAAACGUCCUGUAGCCUCAACACAGAGGUUACUUUUGAGAAUCCCAUCUAAGGUAUUAUGAAGCUACAUGCCAAGCUGAUACGCUAUCAGGACAUUCAACUUGACGAUCCAGGUUCGCACUAGCAGAGCCAUUAACUCUAUAGCCCUCGGGCAUCUAGUUCCAUCCCUCUCCUUCGACUCUAUCGAAGACGUCACUGAAUGCCUUCUUGAAAUAGAACUAGAAGUGGUAAAAAUAAUUUUUCGAAAAUAAGAAAGACAUUAUCGAAUUAUCUAAUCUUGUUGAUGAUUAUUUCCAAAAACGUCUUGAAACUUUAAAACCAUGCACUACCCUAGAUAUCUGUCUUAAGCGUGGUGGUCAUAUAGAGACGAUAAUGAAUGUAGCUCUUCGAGUAUUUAAGGAAGAGCAUUACAAUAUUUUGGGAGAAGGGAGUGUGAAAAUUUAUCCGAAACUUUAGAAGAACUAAAAAAUUUAAAGGCAACAAUGGAUCCCUUCAUAGAGAUCUUGAAACUGUUUACCUCGGUUUAUAAGCAAUAAGAUAUGAUGAGAGAGAAAUUGUAUGAAGUGGAAGAUUAGGCCCCCAUUUGGCUCCCACUAUUCCACAUUAUAAUAAAAGGAAUAAUAACUUUUUGGAGAAUGUGUGAUUAUAAAAAAGGAAAAUUUUUUGGGCUUACGUGUGUAAUAUUAUUUUAUUGGAUAUUAUGUGGUUGAUAAGAAAAUAGAGAAAAAUGAAUUAUAAUUUAAUGGGGAAUAAUAGGGACCAAAUGAGGGCCAGAUCACCAAAGCUUUUUUCGAGUUCAAUACAUCCAAUCAACCAACACCUCAAUGUGGGCAUAAUCACAGAGAAGAAAACCCGUUUUUCUCUAAAGGUAGAGGAAGAAAAUUACACGCACAUGAAGGCCAAUGAGAACAUCCAAUAAAUAUGUCAUAUUAGGGUAUAGUGAUCGGCCAAGUCCAAUGGAUAGAUCAGUGGGCUAAGUGUAUCACUAAGUGAGUUACCCUUUGUAAGCCAUCCAAAUGAGCAGCACUAAUUAAAUUAGACUGCUUCCAAUGGCCCAAAUAGUUUUAGGGUCGGUUAUUUCAUUGAGGUGUCGAUUUGUUGUUCAAUCAUUUGGUCAAUGCUGAUUGAGAAAAUAUACUAAAUUACAUCAUCGCCCAGGAGGUUGUUUGACAACAAUUUGUCCAACAAACCUCCACUUGGUGUUGUAGAAAUUUGCAAAGAAACAUUAUCAUUUGUUAGUAAUGAUUCCAAAAAUGGAAACUAAUAAAAUUGGAAAUUAGAUACCUCAACCAAUGUAUAGAAGGUCCUUGCAACUUCUAAACUUUAUCAAUGACAUCACAAUAGUGACCAUGUUGGAAGGAUUAUAUUGUGUAUGUAUCUUUUCAAGUCUUAUCACUUCUUAUGACACAAUAUCUCUAAUAAAGCAUAACCUAACAUCAAUGUGCUUAGUGUGUUUGUGAAAAAUAGGGUUUUUGCUUAGAUGUAUCAAAGAUUAUCUAUCUGAAUAUCAAAGUCAUUUAAAACACAAAGUUCAUGAAGUGAACCUCUAAGUUGCAAGACUUCUUUAAUUGUUUCAGUGAUAGCAAUAUAUUCUGACUUUAUGCCCCCCAUAAUCCGCAUCUACAAAAGCUUUUAAUAGCACCAAACAUUAGGCCUACAUCACUAGUCUCCUUUAAACACCUUAACAUCCAUUUUAAGGCUUCCAAAUGCUCAGGGCCCGAAUUAGACAUGUACCUACUAAGGGUACUAAUAGCAAAGGCUAAAUCAGGUUUAGUGCAAACCAUUAAAUAAAUAAUAGAUCCAAUCACAUUAGUGUAUGUAAUCCUACUCAUGUAUUCAAUCUUCUUUUCAUUAUAUGGAGCUUGAUCUUUGGAUAAUACAAAAUGAUUAGCUAAAGGUAUUGUAACAAUUUUGCUAUCAUGCAUACCAAAUCUUUUAAACACCUUUAAAACAUAAGUGGAAUGAUGCAAAAACAAAGUAGUAUUUUAUCCAUCUCUUUUAAUUUCCAUUCUUAAGAUUCUCUUAACUUUAUCUAGAUCUUUCAUGUCAAAUUUGCCAUUCAACUUUGUUUUUAUCAUUCUUAUCCACUUAGGUGACGAACCAACUAAAAGUAUAUCAUCCACAAAUAGCAAUAAAAAAAACAUUGUCGUUAUUAGCAUCAUCAUAUUAAAAAUACGGACAAUGAUCAAAUGUACUCCUUUGAAACCCUAUGGUGAAUACAAAAGAAUCAAAUUUUUUAGACCACUGUUUAGGUGAUUGCUUUAAGCCAUAUAAAGACAUUUUCAAGAAACACACAUGAUCAAGUUUUAAUUUAUCUUUAAAAUAUUUUGAUUAAUUAAUAAAAAUUUGCUCAUCAAGUUCACCAUGUAAAAAAUGCAAUUUUUACAUGUAGUUGUUCAAGUUUCUAGUCAAAUUGUGCAACUAAUGCAAGCAAAACCCUAAUAGUAGUGUACUUAACAAUUGGUGAAAAAAAUCUUGAUUUUUUAAUCAACACCCUCUUUCUUUGUGUAUCCCCUGGCCACUAAUCUAGCCUGAAAUCUUAAGGGUUCAGAUACAAUAAUACUAUCCAUAACCUUGAAAAUCCACUUACAAUCAACUGUAGAUUUAUUCUUAGAUCUAGGUAUUAGUAGUGAAGUUUGAUUCUUUUCUAAGGAACUCAUCUACUCUUUCAUUGUCUUAAACUACUCUCCAGAUUGUUCAUUCUUUAUCGCCUCCUCAAAGAUUUUUGACUCUCUAUAACUAGCUUCUCAUAGCUAGCAUGAGCAAUAUCUAACUCAGGCUGGUUUCCAAAUCUUUUAGGUGCUCUUAACUAUCUUUUCUCUCUAUCCCUAACUAAGUUAUAAUCUGCUAAGGGAUUCUCUUUCUCAGGAUGCUCUACUAUCAUUACUUCUUCUCCAUUCUCUACAUCAGGUUGCCGAACCCAAGUCUCCAUCUCACUAGGAGUAGCAAGAAUAGAUGUGCUAAGUUUUCCUAACUCUGUGUUCAACUAAUCUCUCUCCACCUUGUUUUUCAUUACUCACAGGUUCAGAUUCAGUUUUAAUACACGAUAUUUCACCCUUAAUAAAUGUAAGAUCUUUACUCAAAUUGAUUUUAACCCCUUUUUGGCUUCUAUCCUACAACAUAUAAACUUUGACAUCUAGGUUCAAGCUUUCCUUCAUUCUGAUGAGAAAAUAUAGCACAACCAAAUGUUCUAAGCACAUAAUAAUCACUUAGUAUACCAGACAAUUCUUCAUAGGGAGUAUGACCAUUCAAUGCAAUAGAUGGAGUCAAAUUAAUCAAAUAACAAUCAUUCAUAACAGCUUCGCCCCUAAAUAACUUUGGGACACUAGAACUUAGCAUCAUGAAGCGCACUUUAUCAAGUAUGGUUAUAUUUAUCCUUUUCGCUAUCUUGUUUGCCGAAAAGUGUAAAGAACAAUCUUAUGCAUUGUUAUUCCACUUACUUUGCACAUAUUGUCAAAUUCAAUGUUAAAAACUCUAGGCCAUUACCAGUUCCCAAAAACUUAAUCAUCUUGCUAGUUUGAUUCUCAACUUGUCUUUUUCAAUUAUUAAAACUGUUGAAAGUAUCAAACUUAACUUUUAAAAUAGAACCCACAUUUUUCUAUUGUAAUCAACAAUGAUAGACAAUAAAUACCUAUUUUCACCCAAGAUGGAAUUAUUAGCAAGACCCCACAAGUCUAAAUGCGUGUAUUCAAGCAUGCCUUUAGUUUUAUGAACACUAAUGGAGAGAGGUUCUAAGAUGCUUACCAAGCACACAGUGAUCAUAGGAAGAUAAAUCAAACACACAAUCAUUACCAAAAGAACAUUUUUCAUUAAGUUUAAGCCCUUAAUGCCCACAUGUGUUAGUCUAUUUGUCAUUUAUGUGUGUGAUCAGCCUUGUCAAAAAAGAUAAAGGAAUGUAAACCUCUUAUCACUUUUCCAAUAGUGAUAUAAAUAUCAUUUUUCCUAAUUUUCUUUAUGAAAAUAAGUGAACCCUUAAUCAAUUUUAAAACUCUAUUUCCAAUUUACAAGUGAAGUCAUAUUUCUCAAGUCUUCCCAUUGAAAUUAAAUUCCUAGAUAGAUCAAGAACGUAUCUAGCAUAUUUUAAAGUAUACACAAAACAGUGUCAAAUUUUAGGGUAAUAUCACCAAUUCCAAUAACAGUAUAAGCAGAAUUGUCACAUAGCACAACAAGACCAUCAUUUGAUUCAUGCAAAUUUUUAAACAAAUCUUUUUGUGAUGUUACAUAAAAAAAUGCACCAGAAUCAAGUAUCCACUCAUGCAAAUGGGAAUUGAUAGUUAGAUUCAAUUCAAUAGGAUAAGAAACAGAGCUUGUAAUCAUAUACACUUCACCAUCAUAAACAUUAGAAGCUGAAGACAAUACAUUUACUUCAUCUCUCUUUACUCUUUAGUUUACCCUUUCCUUUAUAGCAGUAUUUUAUAAAAUGCCCUGUGUUCACACAACCAUAGCAUUUUCUAACCUUAGUCCUAGAUUUUGAUCUAGGCCUACCCUUGCCAUUCAUUUUACCUCUAUUACUACUUGACUCACCACCACUAUAGAAUCCAUCAUGACUAUUUUUCCUAAACUGAGUUCUAUCCAUCACCAUAUGAAUUUCACUGCUCUGAUUAUCGUGUUUUUUAAUUUUAAUCUCUAUCUCCUUACUUCUAAUGAGUCAAUGACAAUUUCAGCGUCAAAGUGUCCCUACCUAUUUAAUCACAUUCUUAACUUCCACCUAAGUAUCAGGUAUAGAGUUAAGUAAGAUUAUAGCUUUGUAGGUUUUAGACACCAUUUUUCACAGUUAAUAAUAUAUUGAACAAGUUUGUUAAAUAUUUCUAAAUUAUCAUCAAGAUCCGUUGAAGAAUCGAUUUUAAAACUGAAAAAACGCUCAAGAAAGUAAAGUUUGUUUAAAAUAUAUUUGAACGAAUAUAAGUCUUCUAAUUUUUUCUAAAGUUCCUUAGUGGUUUUCAAUUUAUCCAUUUUUUUAAAACAACAUAAGACAAGUAUAAAAUAAUUGAAGCGUAAGCAAGCUCAUCAAAUUUUUCUAUUUGUUCUUCUAAAUAAUUACCAGAAAAAUUACCUUCACCAGCUUUUGAAACCUUUUGUUAAACUAAAAUAUCUCUCAUCUUUUGUUAUUAUAUUGAAAAUCACAUUUCCCGUUAAAAAUUCUCAAAUCAAAAUUGUGAGUUGUCACUUUAUGAGCCAAUCAAAAGUGCAUAGAAUCACAAUUAAGUCACACAUAGUCCUAGGGUCAUAGACAAUAUACAUCGUUCUAGAUUCCCAGUAUUUCAUAAGAUUCACAAUCUUAGAUCAAGAGAAUGUUCAAACGGGUAAGGUCUAGAUAUUCUAAAAGAAUUAAAGAUGCAACAAAAAGAUAUGUCAAUCAAAAAAAUUUCACACACAAUAUAUCACAAAGAUAAUAAGCAAAUAUUAUCAAAAUAAAUAUUUCAAUCACAUGCGAUCAAGUAAUUCCUAAUUUCUAACACAAUUAAUGAUUACCUAGCAUGGUAACCUCAAUCCUAUUGUCAUCCCACAAGAUGAUACGCUAGUGCUCAAAUUUAACCAGGAUAAGCCAAUUUAUCGGAAUGGACCAUGUUUGAAGGUCUGUAAGAUGAAAAGAUGUGAAUCUAUUGCUUUAAGGCCACCACUAUUCGCCUUAAAGCUUCAGCAAAUGUACGAACGUGAUUGACCAAUAAACGAAGGCCAAGUGUUUUGGGGCAAAAUUUUCCAAAAUUCUCUGUAUAACUCAAAACAUGAAAUUAAUGAUAUGAAAAUGUUAUGAAGAAUAAUAGAGCAACCUGUCUAAAGAGAACUUUUUCAGAAUCGCCGCUAUGCACCACUGCCAUCAUCCAUUGUAGCCUCCAUGUACUAUCGAAGAAGGUACAACUCUACCUACUGAGUAUGGUUAUGGCCUCUGUUUCUCCUGACAGUGUCUAGAUUGGCCUGAAUUGACAGUUGCAGGUUUGGCCCCUUAAAAAAGUUAUGCAAACUUAGCCUUUUUUUAGUUGAUUUUUUGCCAGAAAAUCACUAGCUAAGAUCUGAUACAGAUUUGAAGUGGAAGUAUAGGUCACCAAGGCAUUUUUUGGGGCAGAGUACAUCCAAUUAACCAAUACCUCAAUGAAGAAACUGAACCAAAACCUUUCAACCCUUCCACACUUAUGGUUGCUUCCUUAUCACCCACAAAGGACACACAAGGAAAAGUAUAAUAAGUAUGAGAUCAGCCACAAAGGCUAGAGGGAGAAGAAAAAUAGUAGGAGCAAUCACAAAGAAAAAACACCCAUUUUUCAUUAAAGCCAGAGGAAACAAAUUACACGCACACGACGGCCAAAGGCAACAGACAAUAAAUAGGUCGCAUUAGGGCGUAGUGAUGGGCCAAGUGCAAUGAGAUAGAUAAGUGGGUUAAGUGUAUCACUAAGUGAAUUAACAUUUAUAAGACGUCCAAAUAAGUGGAAAAUGGUCCAUGAGCAGUACUAAUUAAAUUAGUUUUAGGGUUAGGUCAUUUCAUUGAGGUGUCGAUUUUCGUUCAGUCAUUUGGUUGAUGUCAACUAAAAAAAUAUACCAAGUUAUAUUAUCGUAUGGGAGAUUGUUUCACAACAAUUGCCCAACAAAUUGGAAGCAAAAAAGAAAAAAAUAGACAAGAACUUGGGAAAAAUAAAAGUUAAGAGGUAAGUCUCUAAUGUGAUAUCUAUCGGUGCAUUUGCCUUAGUCUUGAUAUACUCGAUGGUGGCGGCAGUAGUCAUCGCCCCGUCUGUAGUGACAGCACUGGCUAUAGUAGGCAUUGUGCCUUCAAGGACAAUGGGAAAAUGGCUCGAGUCGAUUUUUAAGAAGCGUGAGAUGGAUUAAAAAGGGAAGAAGGUUAUGAUAACUAGUCUAUUGUGUAUUGGGACUAUUAUCAAGAAAAUGGAUUUUGACAAGGUUUCGGAUUGAGAUUAAGGCAUUGUUGGAGAGUGUAGAUUUUGCUAUGAGGGAAAGGGCUCAAUGGUUAUUGCAGUAAAUUUACCUGAGAAACCACAAUGGCUAGGGACAUACUAUGGAAGAUCAUGAAUGAAAACUUUGAUAUUUCAUAAAAGAUUGGAUAUUUCCUAGUUCAAACCACGUUUUAUUUGAAGGUACUCAAGAGAAUAUUUCAGUGAAUGUUAUCAACAUCACAAGAACUACAACAUAUCAACUCUUCUACAACUUGUGAAAAAUUAGAUCUAUCAUGUUCUAUUGCAUUUUUUGAAAUGCUAUUGUAGGUGGUGUUAUUAAAAGUUGUAUUUCCGUUACAACUUUUUUUGAAUGCUAUUAGAAAGUGAUAUGAAAAACUUUUACAUAGCAUUCUAUUAUCGUUAUAAUUUUAGUAUCUAUAGAAUUCUUUUCGUGCAAUCUUUUUAAAUUUGAUAGCUUUCUUCUUUGUUAUAAUUUUAGCUUUAAUAACAUUCUUUAAUCAUCAUGGUUACAUCUUUAAUAGCUUUCUUGUUCCAUCAUAACAGUUUGAUAUUUGUACCAUUUAAGGAAUAUAAUGUAUCCUUUUCAAUAGCAUUUUUUUUGUAAUGUAUAUAUUAAAUAGCAUUCCAAAUUCUUUAAUUGUCAAAUGUUAUUUAGAACUAAAAAAUGAACAAUAACCAUGCCCAUAAUAAGUUUUAAAACAUGCAUCAAUAUCAUUUUGUAGAAAUACACAAGUGUAGCUGUUCUAUAGAGAAAUAUAAUUAUGUUUCAUCUCACAUCUAUUACUAAUAAUAAUAUUUGCUUGAAAAGGUAAUAAACAAAACUAAAUUAGAAUAGUCUCACUCUAGUUUUUCAAAGAAAAUUUCUUGAACUCUUGCAACUUGUUUGGAGAAGACAUCUAUCAAGAUAAUGAUGCGUUUAAAUCUGAACAUUAACAAAGUGAUACAACUUAUUAGAUUGUAAAUAUAAUAUAAAGUAGAAAUUUCAAAACUCUAAUUGAUGAAGCUUCAUAUUAACAUUCUAUUCCUUUUCCUGAUACUACAAAGAUAAAAAUUUCAAAAGAAAAACACAAGAAACUAGGAAUUAAAGCAUGAAAAUAGAAAGGAAGUGAUAACUUUGGAUUGUAUAGACAAACAAGGAACAAAAGAAUCCCUCAGUUUCUUUUUUACUCUCUAUGGGCCUAUCCCUUAGCAUGAUGCAGAUCUAGUAUAAUAUUGAUCUUUGAAGAUUCAUUGGACUAAACGGCAAUGAGUUUACUAGGCUUUCCAUUUGCUAGCACAUUGGAUGAAUUAACUGCAGUUACUCUACAGGAUCAUACAAAUUGAAACUAAGGAGAUAUAAACAUAAUAACUAUGGUCUCUCAUUGAUCUACUGCCACAGGACACAAAUGGAUGAUGUCAUUGUUGCGACUUCUCUAUUAUUGGGAGAGACAAUAGAUAUUGGUCAAUAUAGAUUGUACAAUACAAAAUAAUACCUCCAAGAUUGACCAAUAAAUUACGCAGCAUGAUUCAUAGAAUUAAGCUUAUUAAUUUCUUCAAAGCAUGAGGUAUACUAGAUGAUAUAAGACUGUUAUACAAAGUAUCGAACCAAACAGAUCUCAAACUUAAGAGAUUUAAAAAACCUAAAGAAAUACACAACUUCCUUUCAAGCUUUCUCAACCGCCAUGGCACCAAGAAUGAAGAUGUUUCAAAUGGCCUCAGAUCAAAACAAAUUGUACCCAUCUGUGUGACCAAAACCCUAACCCAAAUUCUCAAAUGCACCUUUAUUAAUUAAAGGAAGCUAUAAGGGCGGAUGAACUCAUACCAUCUCUUAUUAGUACACAAAGUGUCAAGAUUAUACAAUGAAUUGGAAAGAAAACCAACUUCCGAUCAGAGAUUGGAAGAUGAACACGAACGAGAAAAGAAGAGUCUCAAACCAUACACAGAUAGCACAAACCCUAAGAAUGAAAGAAUAGGGCAACAGAAGGCAGUAUUUAUACACUUGCUUCCAACCAUUGAUUAGAUUCUAAUUUAACGGCCCAAGUGGCUUCUCAAACAAAGAAGAAAUCGUGUAAGGCUACACCCAUAAAAGACCCACACCUUAAACACAACUUUAGUGCAAUUGGACUAAGGUAAAUGGGUCCAACCACGUUAUUGAGCAAUUGUAGAUUUUAGCAGAAAAUGAAUUUAGGUCUUAGUCUUAUCAUAAUUGCUCCCAAGAGGUAAUUUGGCAUCACAAUCCAACAAUCUUCACCUUAAUAUCAAUGGAUUUUACCUUCCCGUGCACUGGACAGGGUCCUAUUUACUGCAUAUGCUGCAGUAAGAAUAGCCUCUUCCCACAUAACCUUAGGUACUCAUCAUCCUACCAUCAUAUACUUGACAGUAUCAAGCAAGGUCAUGUUCAACCUUUUUCAACCCCAUUCUAUUAGGGAGUAUACACUACAACAAAAAAGGUCUUUUGCAAUGUUUCAAAAACGUUGCCGAAGACUUUUUGCAACGUUUAGACCAAUGUUGCAAACCUCAGUAUUGUCGUAGAGUGGGAGCCUACGGCAACGCUGUUUAGACGUUGCUGUAGCAUCUACGGCAACGUUUAAAAAUCGUUGCCGUAGAGAGCUACUGCAACGUUUUUUAGACACUGCUGUAAAUGCUACAGCAACGUCUAAAAAAUGUUGCAGUAGCUGUCAAUGGCAACGUUUAUAUAACGUUGCCGUAGUAUCAACGGCAACGUUUAUGUAACGUUGCCGUAGCUGUGAAUGAGAAGCCUACGACAAUGUUUUUUAAACGUUGCCGUAGAUGCUACAGCAACGUCUAAAAAAUGUUGCCGUAGGCUCCCCAUUUUUCUUGCAUUUUCUCAGUUUUUGCUGUUUUCACCUGGAUUACUGCUGAAUCAAAAAUACAAAUUUACCAACAAUUGAAAAAAGUAGUGCACAAACUCAAUUUGUCUUUUUCAGUACACAUAAAACCCGUAUGAAAAUAUAAAGUGGAAAUAAGAUUAAAAUUUCAUUACAUAUUUUUUUACCAUACAAAAUGCAAAUACAUGAAACUCUAGCCUAUACAACCUAUAUAUCAAUCCAAAAUCUAUUUUCCUACAAAAGUACAUGCAUCGUUUUAGCCACGCCUAGUUGCAAACAUCAUAUCAGAUAGUUUCCAACCCUACAACCGCAUAAAAAACUUAAAAGAUACUAAUCAACCAAAAAGGAGAUCUAAAAAGCGAGUGAAAUCUUAAGAUAUGAUGUCAAAUAAGCCUAAUACUGCUCUUCGACCAAGCAACAGUACUUCCUAUGGCUUCACUAAGAGUCCGAAGUUCAUUUGUCGGUCUAUAUAAUGUCAAACUAUUCAUGUACACUUCCUCAACCCAAACUUUCCAGCACUCUCGACCAAGUGGUAAGUGAUGAACCUUUGCAAAUGGAUCUGCUGUUGCAAUCUUUCCUUCCGCAACAACUUCUUCUUCCUUCUCAAAAUACCAAUGUAAUAAUUGACACCUUGCAUUUUCCAGAUUUGCGGUGCCUCCGUGAACACCACUUCCUUGGUGUGACUACAAUUCAUAGUAAACUAAAAUUUCCAAAAAAAUUCAAUUAGAUUUCUAUAUAAUUUGGAUUUAUAACAUAUAAAUAUAUAAUAAUGUAGGAUACAAAAACCUGAGGAGUGAAAGCACGUGAACUCUUAUCCUCCAUAUUCUGUAAGAUGAUACAAAAAUUAUGAAAAGUAAAUCUGCAUGUACUUGACUAUAUUGUUGUACUGUUACCGUAGUAUAUAUAAAGGUAAAAAAUUAUAACCUGUUGAGAUAGUUUGAGAAGUGCUUCAACCUUUUCUUCCAACGCUCCCAUCUUGUCAACCUUUUCUUCUAAUGUUCUCAUCCUUUCUGAUUGAGUUUGUAGUUGACUUUCGAGUUCUCUAACUCUCACAUUACUUUGAAUUUGUCCAUCCACCUUCGAUGGUGCAACUCCAAAUCCAAGUCCUCUAACUCUUCCAUAGCGCUCAGGGCCUAAAACUCAAUCAACAGCAUCAUCGCGAAUGGAGUCUUCUGCUGGCGUAUCAGAAAUUGUUUCAGCACACGCUUCAAUCCUUUUCUGUAGUCAUGGAACUCAAAAUUUAUAUUAACAAAUGAUACAUAUAAUAAAUCAAUUUAUUCUAUGUUCAACAUUGAAUAUAAAACACAUACCACAGUGUCGGCAACGGCUUCGUUUAUCGGUUUUCCAUCUUUUCUAAGAUGGCCUUGAGUCCAUACUCUAGCUGUCAAUCCCUUUAUAUUUGGAUUUUUUUUUCUCUGCAAUAAAUAUUUGGUAAUUACAUAUACUAGAGUAGGACAAUUCAAAUAAGAAGAGUAGAUAUGUUUGUAAUUUUACCAUUUCAUGGGCAAUACGUGGAUAUCCUUUUCGACCCAUUGUAUUGGGAGUUCAAACAUUUUCAUCAAAGCAAGAAUGCACAGUGACUUAUGUAGCUUAGCCAAUUGGCUGAGGCUGAAUAGGGGUGGGGGGUGAACGGGUGGAAGGAUUUUGUCUAUAGCUUCCAUCCAAUCAUCUAUGUUUUACAAGAGGACAUUUAUCAUGUAGAUUUAUGCAACAGUAAUAUGGUCCCUUUAAGUUUAAUACUACCUUAGACAAUUUGUGUAUCCAAGAAUUGGAAGGUCUGAAGACAGUUUUUUCCACUUCUUCGAAAAUUGUGCAGUUUUUCUCUUCUCUCUUUAUUUUUACAUGUGCAAUAAAAUGUUGUACUUUUAGUAAGUAUCCUCUUGUGAGUAAUAGACUGGCUUGUUUUAGUGCUGUCAUCUGGAGGGCAUUGCAGUGAGUUAAAUGAUGAGAGAGCAGAAAUUUUGGCAGACCGAACUAUGUUGUCCAAUGAAACCAGUGAACAAUGUGAGUUGUAUAGUGGAAAAGAUGAUAUUUGUGCUCACGAGGUUCUUCAAGAUGGUGAACCUGAUUCUGACUCAAGUGAAGUCCAUAAUAGAAUGAUGUGGAAGGUUAGUCAUUGGUUAACUCGUAGUUUAUAGCACUGUUAAAAAAGGAGGGUCAACAGAAAUUAUCAUUAGUAAGGAUGGUUGCUAAGACUAGAUUCUUGGACCUUUCUAAAGAGAUAGAUCAUAGACCUAAAUGGGAAGUGACAAUAAAAAGGGAGUAGUGUAGUCAACCUUAAAUUAUUGAAUAUAAGGCUUAGUUUGUCAUCAUUGUAUUACAAUUAAAGAAACGAUGUUUCAAACAGCUAAUUGUCUAGAUUCCAUUUAUGGUUUUAUAUAUUCUAAAUCAGUUCUUGAAUUUCUAGGUUCUUUUUCCUUCUCUUCUCCAAACAUAAUGCAUAUUAGUGAUUCCCUAUGUUGUAUAUCUAUCCUCUUCUAACUUCAUUCCUAUUCAUAGAAAAAAGCAACCUCGGGAAAUCAUUAUUCCCUAUCUCCAUUUAAGGAAAGGAUUCUUGUAGACCGUUCUUGAGUCCAGCAUUCACUUUCAAUGCUUGCAGUGUAAGAAAUAUUUCUAUUUGCUUGAGUUCUACAACGUGCAGUAUUGAACCUGAAAGCAAGACCUAGAUUGAAUAAUCUUUACCUAAUUAUUUUCUGUUCUUGCUGGUCAUUCAUGUUUAAACAGUUUCACAUGUAAAAGCUCCAUCAAAUAUUCAACAGGAAGCUCCAAUACAAAUGGAUAUAAAAGAAGAACCAAAAUUUACUGCUAAACUAUAUCAGUUUAUAAAAUCAAAUACUAAUAAUGGAGGAUCCUUAUGAAAAAUUAAAUACUAAUAAAUGAAUGCCUUUAUCUUUGUCAUCCAUAGAAUCAAAACUAACAUGGCUAAAUCCAUUUGAUUAAAACUAGUAGCAUUCAAAUUAAAACACCUAUCACAAGAAAUCGUCCCGUCGAACAGUUCAGUCGAAAAACAGCAUGUGAAAUUGACUCAUAAUCAAAUUAUAGGAAACCCUUGUAUUAGUUACCCACAUUAAGAAGAAUCAACAUCCAAUAUCCAAACUUAUAUACUAGGGAAACAGAAUGAACUGACCUUAGUGAAAUCGGGCAACCGGACGCAGGAGAACCAUACAAUCGGUGUCGAUGUCGUCUCAAAAUCUUCUGCUGGCGUCGAAAGUCGGAAGAGACUGGCAGAAUCGGGAUGAAAUUGAUGAAGAAAUUAGGGAUGAAAUGCGCAGAAUAAUGGAGGAAUUUGAGGAUGAAAUUAGGGAUUGUGUGAGAGAUUAUACGAUUAGGGAUUUUAGAGGAUGAAGGUAAAUUAUUUGGGCCUCUCUAUUGGACUUGGGACUUUUCUAUGGGGCUUACUUGGGAAUCCUUUCGCAAUGUUUUAAAAACGUUGCGAAAGGUGAUAUUUCGCAAAGUUUCGCAAACGUUGCGAAAGGUGAUAUUUUCGCAACGUUUUAAAAACGUUGCGAAAGGUGAUAUUUUGCAACGUUUUUUAAAAACGUUGCGAAAGGUGAUAUUUUCGUAACGUUUGAAAUAGAAAAUUUUUUGGCAACACUUUAAAAACGUUGCGAAAUAGAUAGUUUUUCGUAACUUUGAAUAAACGUUGCAAAAACCAACAUUAGCAACACUUGUUUAAACAAUGUUGCCAAAUCGUAAUUAUAUCAACUAAUGGCAACAUUCACAUAUUUGAACCUUGCAAUAAACGCCUUUGGCAACACUUAAUUAACAAAUGUUGCGUUUUAUGUGUUGCAAAAGCCUAAUUUUGUUGUAGUGAUAUGGGACAGUUUUAUUUCUUAAUAUACCAUUUUGUUCACAAUACAUGCCAAAUUUAAAAUUACAAAAUUUUAGGUCAUUAUCAGUUCUUAAAAUUUUAAUCUUUACAACCAUCUAAUUUUCAAUUAAAACCUUCCAAUUCUUGAAUUUUUCAAAAGUUUCAGUCUUAUAUUUUAAAAGAAAAACCCACACAUUUCUUGAAAAAUCAUCAAUUAUUGAAAGAAAAUACCUGUUCUUACCUUGAGUGGCAAUGGAGGUAGAGCCACACAAAUUAAAGUGAACAUAUUCUAGUAGAGAACUUGAUCAAUCUAUGGUGUUUUUCAAAUAUGUAAUUUUUACCAAAAGGUAUUUUUAAUAUUAAUUUUCUUUUCCAAACACUCCCAUUUUGUGUAAAACAGUGAGAUCUUUUUCACUCACAUUAGUUAAUCUCUUAUGCCAUUUUAAGGUAGAAUCAGGUUUAGCACUAGAUGCUGUAGCAGCAUUCUCAAAUAUUGUUUUAGCUCUAGCAAUAUAAAUACCAUUUUUCUUAACUCCUUCAAAGAUGGCAAGGGAUCCUAUAAUCAUCUUCAUAAUGCCAUCUCGAGUUCUAACACGUAUCCCUUGAUCAUCGAAUUCCUCCAUAAAGAUUAGAUUUCUAUUGAGUUUAAGUACAUAUUUGACUCUUUCUAGGGUAUACAUAUAGCCAUUUUCAAAUAUUAGAGUGACAUUACCUAAUCACUCAACCUUAGUACCUUACAUGAAAUGUCAUUCCCCAUUACUAUUUCUCUACCACUUAUCUUUUUAAAAUUUUGAAGCUAAGACCUUUUAUGUGUAAUAUGAAAGGUGUAGUCUAAAUCCAAGAUAUACUCAUGGACAUGCUAUUUGUUAUCAGCAUAAUUUGCCAACUCUAGAUCAAGCUACUGAGUAACUAAAUACACAUCAACAAUGUUAGGUCCAGCGGUUCAAUCACAUUUUCCUCAUCUAUUUUUUUUAUCCCUUUGUUCAUUUUUCUUGUUGUGGCAAUCUUUUAUGUAAUGCUCUAUCAUGCCACAACCAUAGCACUUCCUAUUCCUUGAUUUAGAUUUUGACUUUAUCUUACAUUAGAUUUCUUAUUGUUAUUUCCUGAAUGAUUCUGAUUCAUCUGAGUACUACUUUGCCUAUUUAAUUGUCUACCUCUCAUAAACAAGUUCUCUGAUUCGUUCCCAUGUUUUUUAGUUUUAAGUUCUAUUCUUUAACUUCUUAAAGAAUUUAUAACAACAUCAGGAGUCAAAGUAUCCCUAUCAUACUUAUGGCAGUUUUGACAUCUCUGUAUGCAUCUGGUAUGGCAUUAAGGAGUAUAAUUGUCUUAUACUCCUCAGAUAUCUUAUCCCCAGCAUUAGUAAUAUCUUGUACCAUUUAUUAAAGGUAUCAAAAUUAUCAUCUAUGUCUUUGGAUGAAUCAAUCUCAAAAUUAAAAAAAACCUUUGUAGGAGGAAUAGUUGUUAGUUAGUGGUUUAACUAAGUAAAGUUCUUCUAGGUUGUUCCAUAAGGCCUUGGUAUUGUUAAGUUUUCCAACUUUCCUUAACACUUGAUCAGAUAGGUGAAGGAUAAUGCAAGUAUAUGCUAGUUCAUCUGAUUCAGCUUUUUGAUCAGUAGUCAUUGUUUUAGGAAAUUCACUAGUUAUUGCUUUAGAUACUUUCUGUUAGACUAAAAGCCCCCUUCAUCUUUGGCUGCCAUAUAGGAAAAUUUAUCUUUCCAUUGACGAUCCCAAGUUCAAAACUAGAAGUAGUCAUAUCCAUCAAAUUGAUCACAAUAAGAAAGAAAAAUCUGAUCACCACAAAACAAAUUGGGACAAAUGAUCCAAGAUGCAAUUAAGACGAUAAAGAUUCUUCUAAAUAAAGGGUGAGUACACAGAAUCACAAUUAUAUGACCUAAAUCAUAUACUGCAUAUAGAUUAUACUUAAACAGCAUAUACACAACAUGAAAGGAUUAUAUAAGUGCAAAGCAUGAUAAGUGAAUGUGUAUAGUUCAGUAAUCACGAGUUAUUUUGAGAGUCAACUGCCUAUCUCCACCAAUAUUCCAUGAAAUUCAAAAAACAUCAGGUCAUAGUAGGGUGAUAGUUAGAGGUUUUAGUACAGAACCAUAAAGAAAAUAUAUGAAGUAUAGGAUCACAAAAAUACUGCAAUCUAAGUAGCAUAUAACAGUUUAUCCAAAACACUGAAGAGACAAAUCAGUCAAUAAUUGUUCAAACUGAAAAAUGCUUUACAAAAUUAGUCAAUGAUAAUAGGCUCCCAAAAAAAAAAAAGAGUUCGAGAGAGUAAACCAGAAUGUUGGUCAUUUCACUUGACCACUAAUAGAUCUCACCAAAAUAAUAGCCAUGACAACUAGAGAUAGUCAAAUCAUGACGCCGUAAAAUAAUAUUUCACCAAGAAAAACUUUGAUCCGUUUUAGAUUUACCAGAUCUGGGGUUUACAAUCCCCAAUAUUCUCAAGAUCAACCGUAAUUACUAGAACAAGUUUCAAUUUCCCUAGAAUAGCCGAUCAAGUGGCUUUGUUACCAUUGUUAUACAAAGUAUCGAACCAAAUAGAUCGCGAAUUUAAGAGAUUUACAAAAACAAACCAAAUAGAUCGCGAAUUUAAGAGAUUUACAAAAACUUAAAGAAAUACACAACUUUCUUUAAAGAUUUCUCAAACUGCAACCAUGGCACCAAGAAUGAAGAUGUUUCAAUGAGGCUCGGAAAAAACAUAUUGUACCCAUUCGUGUGACCCAAACCCUAACUCAAAUCCUCAAAAACACCAUUAUUGAUUAAAAGAAUCCAUAAGAAUAAGUGCACUCACACCACCUCUUAUCAGUACACAAAGUACCAAUAUUACACAAAGAAUCGGAGGGAAAACCAACUUCCAAUCAGAGAAUAGAAGAUAAACAUGAAAGAAAGAGGGAGAGCAUCAGAGCAUAUACACACGGCACAAACCCUAAGAAUAAAAGCAUAUGGCAACAAAGGUAGUAUUUAUGCACUUGCUUCCAACCAUUGAUUAGAUUCUAAUCUAACGAUCCAAGUGGUUCCUCAAACAAAGAAGAAAUUGUAUGAGCUACAAUAAUAAAAGUUCCAAGUCUUAAACGCAACUUUAGUGUAGUUGGACUCGAGUAAAUGGGUCAGGCCACAUUAUUGGGGAAUUGCAGGUUUUAAUAGGAAGUGAUUUCGGGCCUUAACCUUAUCAUCAUUUCCCCAAGAGGUAAUUUGACAUCACAACCCAACAAAGACAAGAUUGAGAAAAGCGAGAAUAUCAAUCAGAGAUAAGCAUAUAGUAAUAAAAUACUUGAAAGCCAUAUUCGCUUGUGGUAAGAGUAAAAAUUCUCUAUAACCUGUGCGAAGAUUUAGUUAGCAUUGAAAGAGAGUGCCAUCAACAAUAGAAGAAUGGCUUAAUCAUUACAAAAGAAAAGAGAUUUACGACACGAACAGUUGGAUCUUAAUUAUGAAGAUUUAGUUAGCGUUGAAAGAAAGUGACAUCUACAAUAGAAGAAUGGCUUAAUCAUUGCAAAUCAAAAGAGAUUUAUGUCACAAACAAUUGGAUCUUAACUGAAAUGCCCAUGAAUUUUCUCGUUUGCAAUCACUAUUGAUAUUUUCCUUCAAAAUUAGGGUAUAUAAAUAGGCAAGAUCAUAUACUAGUUCCCAAACAUGGAAAAUAAUUUUCAAAAAAUAUUCUCUAGCUCAUAGUACUUCAAAUGAAAUUUUAUGCAAACUUAACUUUUCAUAAGGAAACUUCACAUAAAGUUGUCAGGCACCGACCCUCAUCUCUCAAGCGCUAAUGUGUCUCCUUCACAAUAUUUGGAGGAAAUUUUGGCAUAGUAAAUUUAUUUCGUAAUCUACAAUUCUAGGCCCUUGGACAUGGAGAAAGAAUACUGUCGAUCUUUUGCUUCUUUUACUCUUAACAUGUUUUUAAUAUUCUAUUUCUUUAUUUCACAAACUUACUUUGAAGUGUAUCACGGGAAAUUAGUAAUCCUGGAAAUUCAUUUGAUGUUGUCUUAAAUAAUUCAGACUUCACCUCACACUUAUAAGUCAAAACAUAAAUAUUUGAAGACAUAUCAAGUAGUAUUGUCAAUAAGUCUCCCAGACAAGUCAUGUAGUUAAAUAAGUAUCUUCUUGAAUACAGAAUAAAAAAAGUUCCACAUGCUCAUUUCUGUACCGCCCAAAAACUUGGAAAAAUAAUAGGGAAACUUAAGAACAAACCUGAUUAUAACUGCAUACACCAAAGCCAUCACACCUAAAGCCUCUUGUUAAUUCUUAAUGUCCCUAGAAACUUUAGGGACAACCAAAUUUUUCUCUUUACUAAAAAUUUUCGCUCUCAAUUUUUCUCCUCCACACACACACACACACACGCACCUUCUCUCCAAUUCCAAUCCUAUAUUUAUAGAAAAUUUAGCUGCCUUUUACAUUAAAUUCCACCGCCUAAUGCUUCAGAAAAUUGGCUUGAAUUUUCUGCAAAUGUGGCUGUCAUUUCCUAUACAAUUUUGUGAAGUCAACAUUUAACACUUUGCAUUAAAUUCAUGUAAUAUACCCCAAGUCAACAGUUGCUGGAACAUAUCAAGAAUAAUGGUUGUAACUUGGCUGGUCAUUAGCCGGAAACUCCAAUUUUGCAACCAUCACCUUUGUAUGCAUGUAUGUAUUUUUCUUAACGAUGAAGAAAGCAACAACCUUAUCUAUUUGGUCAAAAAAUGUGGCUUUACUUUUAACAUGCUGUAGCGAAAAUCCCUCUAUAAAUCUUGAUUCCCGAUUCAGAAAACAAUCAGACGAACAACGAUUUACCUCGGCUCGACCCAAGACUUUCGCCUUCACUUUGGACUGCUCUCUUUCUCUCUAACCCCACAAAGGGGAAGGGUGGUGGUGAUAGCAAUCCACAAAGGUAUGGAGAGGAAGACAAAGAUAUCACAAUGAUUGAAUCUCACUCACAACCUCACAUGGCUUCCCUCUCUCUCGACUGCCUCUCUUCUCUCAACUCUCAUCUCCAUUGCUACAACACACACACACACACACACACACACAAAACGGCUGGGAGAUAAAUACAUAUAUAUAUGUUAGUUUAUGUCACUCCAAUUGGGCCUAGGGUUCAUUAAGAGGGCUACCAAUUAACCUAAACUAAUGGGCUAAUUUUCAACUCCAUAUUAAUCACUAAAUGGUCUAACUAACCAAAUAGUCAUCCAACUCAAAAUCGAGCCAUCCAAAAGUGUAGUUCGUCUCCGAGUCGAGCCAAGUCCAUGGUGUCGAUAAAUAAUCCGACAACUGUUUUAAAUCAUCGCCUGAAUUAUUGGGUAUCAAAAAACCCAACAAUCUCCACAUUGAUGCCCAAUAAUCUGCAAGCAACCAAAACACACAGUUUAUACUUGUACAAUCAAGGUAAUCCAUUAAAAUAGGAAUAACAGAUCUUACCUCGUGUUUCAAAUCGAAACACAUACCAUACUUGCUCCAUGUACUCUCAGGGCAAAGGUAAAAAAUACCCAAGUAGAAACAAGUAUUCACAAUGGACAAACAAUCAUACGAUGAAGAUAUAUAGGAUAACACACACAGAGAUCUUUCCAAAAUCACGUUCACACGGAAUCACAGAUUAACACCUAGUUAAUCAAACCACGGUCACGUACAUAUGCAACAAAUGCAUAAAUGACCUCAUGGAAGAUCUCACCACACUUAUCCUAUCCCAUUCCGUGUUACUCCCACCUCGAGAACACAUAUUUCCUCUCAUCGCCCACCAUACUCACUAAACCAAUCACUCAACUCAUGUUUAACUGGUAAGUCAUAAUAGAUCCUAAGCUCUUGGGAUAAUCCUCUAUCACCACAUCCCUUCUCCCAAUCUACGUGGAUAAUGGGACUCCACCUUAUAGAAAUGAUAGAAGUGCCUCUCUCACACUCCACCUGAUCAGGGUCUCUUUCACAGAUAAAGGAUUCUACACAUUUGAUCACAUUUCCACUCAUGAUCCAAAUAUCACACUCCACAUCCCCCGUGCAUAUCACCAUUGCACCUAUAGGCAUCUAUACUCCACAUUAUCAGAAGACAUCCAACUCACUGCUAAUGCAUCAUAAACUCACUGUGGCAAAACAAGACCUUUCGGUGACCACAAAGGUUCUCCAAUCACCAAAGAUCCAAAAAAUUCACAAAGAAAAUGGCGAAGGAGGCACUCACAAAGAAAAAAUUGAAGAAAGAGUCAGUUACUUCACAACACUCACAAAGAGGAAGAAUAUAACCCUAACAUGGUUGUCUCACAUAAUCUCAUAAACCACACAGGCUCACAAAGAUAAAAGAGAGAAGUGGCUGCCCAACUUUCUUCUCACUACCACACUCUCACACCACUCACAGAGCAAAUAGAGUACGCUACAAAACUUAACCCACUAUGCAUGUAAACAUAUUACACAAAGUAAUAAGUCACUCUAAUUCAUGCAAUUACACACAUCAAACAUUUUGAAAGUCUAACAUCAACAUUGCAACAAAAUUAAGUGACCACAUACAUGCAGAAGGGAUUACACACAGAUUCAACUCCAUAUUAAUCACUAAAUGGUCUAACUAACCAAAUAAUCAUCCAACCCAAAAUCGAGCCAUCCAAAAGUGUAGUUCGUCUCCGAACCGAGCUAAGUCCAUGGUGUCGAUAAAUAAUUCGACAACUAUUUUAAAUCAUCGCUUGAAUUAAUCGGUAUCAAAAAACCCAACACAUGCCUUUGGAUGACUUUCAGAGAAUACAAGCCGACGAUCAGAUGAUCGAAGUUAAGACAAGACUAAAGAAGAACAAUUUCCACAUCGCCGUAAUAUUUGCCACAACAAAAGAUACAACACUUCAAUAAUAGCAAUGACAAAGAAAGAUCCUUGUCCAUACCAACCUAGAUGCCAAUAAAAUCAAUUAGGUUAGAAUGUCCAUGAACUGAACAAUUAUAGCAUAGUUUCCUUGUUAAAAGUAAGUAAAAUUCAAGAAUUUGUCAAAGUGAGCAAUCAAAUAAUAAUCAGAACUGAGCAAUACAACUACAACAACCUCAUAUGGUCGCUCGGGCUACUAGUAUUGGAGGAAGCCAGAAGCUCAAAUGCCCUCCAGCUCCAACACAGGGACGACUUUCGAGAAUCCCAUCUGAGCUCUUAUGAAGCUGUGGGCCAAGCCGAUACCGCUGUCAGGACAUUCGACUUGACCAUCUAGGUUCGCACUAGCAAGGCCAUGAAAGCUAUAACCAUUGGCUAUCUAAUUCCCUCCCUCUCCCUCGACUCUAUCCUAGAAGUCACUAAAUACCUUAUUGAAAUAGAUCCAAAAGUGUUAAAAAAAUCUCGAAAAUGAGAAAGACAGUAUCGAAUUAUCGAAUCUUGUUGAUGAUUAUUCCCAAAAAAGUCUUCUAACUUUAAAAUCCAGUACUGCCCUUGAUGUCUGUCUUGAGCAUGAUGGUCAUAUCGAGCUGAUAAUGAAUGUAGCUCUUUGAGUAUUUGAGGAAGAAGAUUAUAGUAAUUAGGGUGAAGGGUGUGUGAAAAUUUAUCUGAGAACUUUAGAGGAACUAAGGAAUUUAAAGGCGGCAGUGUAUCCCUUUAUAGAGUUCUUGGAACUAUUUAACUCGAUUUAUAAGCAACAAGAUUUUAUGACAGAGAAAUUGGAAACAAAGAAGAGAAAAUUAGACAAGAAGUUGAGGAAAAUGAAGGUAAGGAGGAAAGUCUCUAAUGUGAUAUCUAUUGGUGCAUUUGCCUCGGUCUUGAUAUGCUCAGUGGUGGCAGCUGUAGCCAUCGCCCCGCCUAUAGUGGCAGCUCUGGCUGUAGCAGUUGGUGUGCCUUCAGGGACAAUAGGGCAAUGGCUCAACUCGAUUUUUAAGUAGCAUGAGAUGGAUUUAAGAGGGAAAAGGGAUAUAAUUACUUUAAUGCGCACUGGGAUUGUUAUCAAGAGAAUGGAUGUUAACAGGUUUCAGAUUGAGAUUAAGGAGUUAUUGAGUGUGUAGAUUUCGCUACGAGGAAGGAGGGUUUAGUGGUUAUUGCAGUGGAGGAGAUUCAAAAGAAGGUGAAUGGAUUUAUGAAAACCAUUCAAGAUUUGAGCGAGCAUGCAGAUAAAUGUACCCAAAAAACUAGGAUGGCUAGGAACUUAAUUCUAGGAAAAUCAUGAACUAAAACCUUGGUAUGUCAUAAAGGAUUGGAUAUUUCCUAGUUCAAACAUCGUGUAAAUACCAUAGUGAUGUGAACCCACGUAGCAACUAACAAUACGGAACACGCAAAAGAAUGAAAUCGGACCCAAAAAAGUUCCAAACAAUAAGGUUUAUGGAUUUUGACUCAAAAACAAUGGAUUAAACAACCCACACAGUCAAUAGAACAUGUAGACCUCUUAAUUACACAAUUUAAUAAAUCUAAUCCGGAUAAUUUAAAGAUUGACCCGAAAAUUAAAUGAACCAAGAAACAAAAAUAAUUACAAGAAUACCUUGACCCCGUGAUUACACAACCCACGAAUCUCACUUCGAUUGGUUGAAAGCCACGAGAAAUCAUCCCGAUAAGUUCAAUAAUUUUUGAAGCAUGAAGCCUCCAGAGAAAAUCUCCAUUAAUUUAAUCUCAAAUUUAAUCUCAAAAGUCUUGUUUUACAAUGUAGAAAAAUAAACCUAUUUAUACUAAAAAAAACCUAGAAUAAAGUUUAAAUGGAAUAAAGUCCUAGAAUACCUAGAAAUCUAGUAAAAUCGGAAAUGGAAUCCUAAAAUAUCUAAAUUAUCAAAAAUAAGAAAUUGGACCAAAAUAAAACUUCUCCAGAUCACAUCAGACCCUCCCUCUUCAAGAGGAUUCAUCCUCGAAUCCUAAUCCAAUUUAUAGCAUUUACUUUCAAUCAACUCAAGCAAAUGAAAUGGCCCAUCACCUCUCGGAUGCAAUUUGGACCUCUUUUGACAUUGAGCUCUCCUUUUUUGAAUGUAGACCCAAUCACCCUUACAUAGAUCAAAGUAUGUACGCCUUGACGGUUUCUUUUUGCCAUUUUGGGAUGCUCCAAGAAUGAUUUCAGCAGAUAAAUCACCGUUCAUUGUCCAUGCUUUAAUCGGCCCAUAAAAUAAAACUUCUCCAGAUCACAUCAGACCCUCCCUCUUCAAGAGGAUUCGUCCUAGAAUCCUAAUCCAAUUUAUAGCAUUUACUUUCAAUCAACUCAAGCAAAUGAAAUGGCCCAUCACCUCUCGGAUGCAAUUUGGACCUCUUUUGACCUCGAACUCUCCUUUUUUGAAUGUAGACCCAAUCACCCUUACAUAGAUCAAAGUAUGUACGCCUUGAUGGUUUCUUUUUGCCAUUUUGGGAUGCUCCAAGAAUGAUUUCAGCAGAUAAAUCACCGUUCAUUGUCCAUGCUUUAAUCGGCCCAGGUGAUGGUGACAAUAUUACUUCCACUGGAUGCAUGUUUCCCUACAUAUCGACUUUGUAACUCAACUCCUUGCAUAUUAAUUCCUUUCAUUGCUUUUGAAAUUUCUUUAUCUCCUCAGGGAUAACAAAAUCAAUCUCCAGUAAUAUAGUGAUGUCGAAACUAGGAUAUGGUAGUUGUUGAAUUGUAUCCACCAUUUGGUAAUUAAUACCCUGAUUGUAACGGAUUCCAAUCUGAUAAAUUUCUAGAAUCGAAUCUUUGUUAACGUGCAAAAUAGAAUUAGCAAAAAUAGGGAGGGAAAUGUUAGUGUUCACCAACGCCUCCUCAAUUUUAACUUUUUCUUCAUGCAAGUUCACUCUCAACUCCUUUUCGAUCUCCAAAGACUCUAUUUCAUUUUCAUUCCAUGACUCCACUUCUCCCCUUUCACUUUCUAUUUUCUUUUCACUUUCUUGUGGCUCAUCUUCUUUUUUCUCACAAUCAACCACCCCACUAAUUUCUCUUUUACUCUCUUGUUCCUUCCGUUCCUUCGGAUGAUUAAUUUGAGACCUAAGAAUGUCGAGAAUUCAGAGAAUUCCUGUUUAUAGUCCAACCCAACACUUUUACUUGAUGUACUACCCUCACACUUAGCAAGGGAUGUUUUCUUUUCCACUAGAUAAUCCUCCUAAUAUUUCCUAGGCGUCUCCUUAAAUACCCAUUCAUGCCGAUCUCUCAUAUCCCUUCCUUCAAACCUAUCAUAUUUAUUCCUCAAUCCUCGUACCCCAUUAAUACCACAACCAUGUCCAUAUGCAUCACACAUUUUAGUUCUAGUCUCCCAUCUCCUAUCAUUUUACACCUCAUCACAUUGAUCCCUAUGUAACUUAGCCAAUUUCAAAUCAAUUAUAUCCAUCUUAUUUUCCAUAUUCUCAAUCAGCAUCUCAAACCGUUUCAACAUUUUUUUAACCCUCAAUUUAUUUUCUGCCUCACAAUUUUACCACUCAAACUUUCUCCAAAGCGCUUUAAAAACAAUGAAAACUCAACCAGGAGUUAUUCUCGCAGAAUUCAAACCAAGUGAGAUUUUCUGACCCAAAUGACUCAAGACAAAUUUGAAUUGGACACAAAAGGAUUUAGAAAAGAUUUUUUUUUUUUUUGGGGAAAAACACAAACACAAUUAAACUACCUAAAAUUUUAGAUCUAAGACUCAAAACUAACGGGAAACACGAAGAAAAAUGCGGAAAACAAAAGAACAAAAACUCAAACACAAAAACAAAGGGAUAUAACCUUUAGUUGUUGGAGUCCAAGCUCUAAUACCACCUGAUGCGAACCCAAGUAGCAAUGAACACUACGGAACCUACAGAAGAAUGAAAUCGGACCCAAGAAAGUUUCAAACAAUAAGGUUUAUGGAUUUUGACUCAAAAACGACGGAUUAAACAACCCACACAGUUAAUAGGACAUGUAGACCUCUUAAUCACACAAUUUAAUGAAUAUAAUCAAGAUAUUUAAAGAUUGACCUGAAAAUUAAAUGAACCAAGAAACAAAAGCAAUUACAAGAAUACCUCGACCCCGUGAUUACACAACCCACGAAUCUCACUUCGAUUGGUUGAACGCCACGAGAAAUCAUCCCUAUAAAUUCAAUAAUUUUCAAAACAUGAAGCCUUCAGAGAAAAUCUCCAUUAAUUUAAUCUCAAAAGUCUUCUUUUACAAUGUAGAUAAAUAAAUCUAUUUAUGCUAAAAAAACCUAGAAUAAAGUUUAAAUGGAAUAAAAUCAUAGAAUACCUAGAAAUCUAGUAAAACAGAAAAUAGAGUCCUAAAAUAUCUAAAUUACCAAAAAUAAGAAAUUGGACCAAAAUAAAACUUCUCCAGAUCACAUCACAUGGACUGGAAACUGAGUUAUUUUAUUUCACUAAUAUUGUACACUCAAAUCAUAGAUCACAAUUAUGUUAUUUGAAGAUACUCAUGAGAAUGUGAAUAAUGCUCUUGAACAGCCUCGAUGACAGGUUGUGUUUUUUGGGACUGUAAUGGCAGCUCUUGAUUAGCAGUUUCUAUCUUUUUUAUUUUUAUUUUUUUAACUAUCAGAGAAAAUGUGACGAGUGUGCAUUUGUUUAAAUCCAUUUCAGUAUGUUUCCCUCAUCACAAGUUCAUUUAUUUUAUUUGGGUUUGUUUCAGUUCAGCACUGGAAGAAUAGUAUGAAUCUGAUGGACAUAAAGAAGAAAAAAUAGCAAUAGGAAAAAAAGCAAAGGAACAACAGAGAAAAAGAUAGGAAAGGUUUCGAAAUUUUCUUAUUCUAUUUUCACUGUACAUUUUUAACAAUUUUAUCAAGUUUAAUAUCAGAGAUAUGUGGCUGGAAGUUUCUUUCUCAAUUAUAUCAAGUUUAAUUUCAGAG
This 26119-nucleotide long non-coding RNA is filed under the name Olea europaea (common olive). RNAcentral describes it as "long non-coding RNA (OEUR_LNC012290)". Lineage: Eukaryota; Viridiplantae; Streptophyta; Magnoliopsida; Lamiales; Oleaceae. The record is from RNAcentral.